Molecule: unclassified non-coding RNA, 298 nt
Filed under: plant metagenome
Description: partial contains small subunit ribosomal RNA and internal transcribed spacer 1
Rfam family: Eukaryotic small subunit ribosomal RNA (bases 1-46)
Source: RNAcentral
AAGUCGUAACAAGGUUUCCGUAGGUGAACCUGCGGAAGGAUCAUUAUUGAAUUAACUUGUCGGGUUGUAACUGGCUUCUAGGAGCAUGUGCACACCCUUCAUCGUUUUUCCACCUGUGCACAUUUUGUAGUCCUGGAUACCUCUCGAGGCAACUCGGAUUGAGGGCUUGCAGUGCGAAAGCCGGCUUGCCCAUUACCGAUUUUGCCCAGGAUCUAAUUCGUUUUCAGUACACCCGUAAUAGAACUGUUAUAGAUUGUCAAUUUAUGGCUUUAGCUGGCCGCUUUUAAAACUUAUACAA